This 7351-nucleotide long non-coding RNA is filed under the name Homo sapiens (human). Its description in RNAcentral is "HSALNT0290328". The stretch from base 4591 to 4694 matches the Rfam family "Small nucleolar RNA U13". The record is from RNAcentral. Lineage: Eukaryota; Metazoa; Chordata; Mammalia; Primates; Hominidae.
AUGUCCUAAAUGGUUUACACUGCGCACAGCUUCCUCUCAGCCCGCUCUGAGCUGGAAGCAGCAUGUGGGACCUGGCCCUGAUCUUCCUCGCAGCAGCCUGCGUGUUCUCACUAGGGGUCACUCUGUGGGUCAUUUGCAGCCAUUUUUUCACUGUGCACAUCCCUGCAGCGGUUGGCCACCCUGUGAAACUGAGAGUCCUCCAUUGCAUCUUCCAGCUGCUGUUGACUUGGAAACCCACCAUGGCAUAUGCUCUCGUUUGUGCAAGGAGAGUGACUCCGUGGUUCUGGCAGUUGGUUACCGCAAGUUACCUAAGCAUAAGUUUCCAGUGCCAGUAAGAGACUGCUUGGUGGCCACCAUCCACUUCCUGAAGUCCCUGGAUGCAUAUGGAGUGGAUCCAGCCCGGGUUGUGGUCUGCGGUGACAGUUUCGGAGGGGCAAUAGCCGCAGUGGUUUGUCAACAACUUGUGGACAGGCCAGAUCUGCCCCGGAUCCGGGCUCAGAUCCUGAUCUAUGCCAUUCUCCAAGCCCUGGAUUUACAAACCCCUUCGUUUCAACAGAGGAAAAACAUCCCACUGCUCACCUGGAGUUUCAUCUGCUACUUUUUUUUUCAAAACCUGGAUUUCAGCUCCUCCUGGCAAGAGGUCAUCAUGAAAGGUGCCCAUUUGCCUGCUGAAGUCUGGGAAAAGUACAGAAAGUGGUUGGGCCCAGAAAACAUCCCUGAGAGGUUUAAGGAGAGGGGUUACCAACUGAAGCCCCAUGAGCCCAUGAAUGAAGCUGCUUACUUGGAAGUAAGUGUUGUCCUGGAUGUGAUGUGCUCGCCCCUGAUUGCAGAAGAUGACAUAGUGUCUCAGCUCCCGGAAACCUGCAUCGUGAGCUGUGCUUGGAAAAGCAAAUGGCAAUCAUCUCUGGAGGAAGGAAACAUUCUAGGCUUUACAUUGUUUUUGCAAAGAAUUUUUAAGAUACCAGCUACGUGAGAAGAAAAGAGCUAGAAGUAAGAACCCACAGAAACAAGAGUAAAAAUAAGAAAAGAAAAGAAAAAUCCAAAUUCUGUAAAAGAGGUCUGCUUACUAUGCUGAAGGAGAUAAAAAUCUAAAUUUGAAAUUUGAGGAAGUUGAAACUGGUAAUUUAAAAGUUCAGAAGGCAAAACGAAAUUUAAAAAAUUAAAAUGGAAAAAAUAACAUAGCAUUAAUACACACACACACACACACACACAAACACACACACGUAUAUAUAGGAAACAAAUAGAAAUUCCAGAACUGAAGAAUACAGUAAACAAAAUAAAAAUUCAACAGAUAGACUUGUCAAAAGAAAAACUUCAGCCAAGUUAAACUUAAAGGAGUUUAAUUGAGCAGUGAAUGAUUCACAAAUUGGGCAGCCCUCAUAAUCAUAGCAGAUUCAGAGAGACUUCAGAGGUGCCUUGUGGUGAGAACAAAUUUAUAGACAAAAAACAAAAAACAAAAAACGGGGGGGAUGUUUCAUACAGAAAUUGGAGGUGAGGUACAGAAACAGCUGGAUUGGUUACAGGUUGGCUUUUGCCUUAUUUGAACACAGUUUGAACACUCAGCAGCCUGUGGAUGGCUGAAAUAUGGCUUCUGGGAAUGGCCAAGACCCAGCUGUUGUUACAGGUGCAUACUCCUACGUUAGGUUUUCAGUCUUGUCUGCCUAUUAAGCUAGGUUAUGAUUUGUCUACAAGGACUCAAACAGAGAAGUACAGAGUCCUCCUCAGGCCAUAUUUAGUUCGCUUUAACAGGCUUGAUUUCACCUUAGACACACCUGAAGAAAAGUUAUGUAAACUGGAAUCUAGGUCGGAAGAAACUAUAAGAAAUCAAGCAUGAAGAGACAAAAGGAUAGAAAAUACAGAAGAGGGGACCAGAAGCAUUGAGGAUUCAGUGAUAAGAAAGAACAAAUAUGUAAUUGUUUUCCUAAAAGGAGAGUGGAAAGAAAGGAGGCAGCAGCCAUAUUUGAACAGAUAAUAGCUGAGAAUUUCCUAAAAUGAUUGAAAGACAUUUACCCAUAAAUCCAAGAAGCAUAUUGCAAGCAGUGUAAAGCAAUCCACUCCUACCUAGAUAUAUCAGAAUAAUGCUGCAGGAAACCAAAGAUAAAGAGAAAAUCUUAAAAACAAAACAAAACAAAAUAAUCGCCCAGAUACCUUAAAAGAAUUAAUAAACUGACACUUGUUUUCUCAGAAGCAACAAUGACAGUCAGGAAACAGUGGAAAAAUUUAUUCCACGUGUGAAGAAAAGUAACUGCCAAACUUGAAUUCUACCAUCACCGAAAAUAUCCUUCAGAAUCAAAGUGAAAUAAAGAUGUUUUCAGAUAAAUAGAAACUGAGGAAGUUUGCCACUAGCAGAACUCCUUUAAAGGAAAUUCUAAAGGGUUCUUCAGGAAAAAGGGAAAUGAUCACAGAUGGGAGGUCAGAGAUGCAGAAUGGAAUAAAAAAUAAUGCAAAUGGCAAAUAUGUGGGCAAAUCUAAGUAAAUGCUAACUAUAAAAUGAUAAUAAUAAUAACUCAUGUAAUGUAAAAUAUGUAGGAGAGAGAAUUAAAGUACAUAAUAGCAUAUAGAUCUGGAAGGGACCAAAUAGAGUUAAAUUGUUCUAAGGUCCUUGAGUUUUCUGGGAGGAGGGUAAAAGUAUCAACCAAGAUUAGACUUUGCUAAGUCAUGAGUGCAUGGUAAUUUCUUUGGUAAACACUAAAGUAAUAGAAAAUAGUUUAGUCCACUAUGGGAGGCAGAAAAAUAAUAGUUAAGGGAAUUUAUAUCCUUAAAACAACAAUUAAGGGAAUUUAUAGUCUUAAAAGCAUAUAGAAGAAAGGAAUAAAGGCUGAAAAUUAAUGAACUAAACAUCCAUCUCAAAAAACUAGAAAACUGAUAGUAAAACAAAUCCAAAGAAAAUAUAAGGAAGAUAAUGAAAAAAAUAAAGUUUUUAAAAGUAUUUUUUAUUUACUUUUAUUUUUUAAAUUAUUUUUUAUAUCUUUAAAGGAAAAUUUCUAAAAUAAAACAAUCACACAAUAGAGAUGAUCAACCAUGCCAUGUUUUGGCUCUUGGAAAAGACGGAUAAAAUUGGUAAUAUCUGGUGAGACCAAUAAAGUAAAAGAGAAAAGCCAUAAAUAGUAAAUAUUAGGCAUAAAGGGAACUUUAAUACAGGCCCUAGAGAUAUAAAAAGAUAAUAAGAAGACAUUAUGAGCAACAUAUGUCAAAAAUUUUGAAAAUUUAGGUGCAACGUAUAAAUUCCUAGAAAAAUACAACUUACCAAAACUGGGAAAGGAAACAGAAAACCUACGUAAUUUUGUACCUAAUAAAGAUAGUGAAUCUAAAAUAGAAAAGCCUUCCAACAAAAACAAGACCAAACAGAAACCUCUUGGCCCAGAUGGCUUGAUUUAUGUAAUAUUCAAGGAAGAAGUAACACUCAGCCACACACACACACACAAAACCUGAUUUAAAAAUGAGCAAAGGCAAAGAACUAAAAAUAGAAUUACAGUUAGACCUAACAAUCGCAUUACUAAGUAUUUACCCAAAGGAAAAUAAACCCUUCUACCAAAAAGACACCUAUACCUGUAUGUGUAUUGCGGCACUAUUUACAACAGCAAAGACAUGGAAUCAACCCUGGUGCCCCUCAAUGGUGUGGCUUGGAUAAAGGAAAUGUGGUACAGGCUGGGUGCAGGGGCACACGCCUGUAAUCCCAGCACUUUGGGAGGCCAAGGUGGGCAGAUCACUUGAGCCUAGGAGCUCGAGACCAGCCUGGGCAACAUGAUGAAACCUCGUCUCUACCAAAAAUACAAAAAUUAGCCAGGUGUGGUGGUAUGCACCUGCAGUCCCAGCUACUCAGGAGGCUGAGAUAGGGGGAUUGCUUGAGCCUGGGAAGUUGAGGCUGCAAUGAGCUGUGAUCAUGUCACUGCACUUCAGCCUAAGUGACAGAGUGAGACCCUGUCUCUGAAAAGACAAGAAAAGAAAAUUGGUACAUAUACAUUAUGGAAUACUACACAGCCAGAAAAAGGAAUGAAAUCAUGUACAAUGUGGCAACAUAGAUGCAGCUGGGGGCCAUUAUCCUAAGUGAAUUAAUGCAGAAACAGAAAACCAAAAACCACAUGUUCUCACUCAUAAGUGGGAGCUCAACACUGGGGACACAUGGGCACAAACACGGGAACAGUGGACACCAGGGAUUCCAAAAGUGGGGAGGGAGAAGGAGGGCAAGCGUUGAAAACUCCCUAUUGGGUACUAUGUUCACUACUUGGGUGGCAGGAUCAUUAGAAGCCCAAGCUCUAGGAUCUUGCAAUACAUGCGUGUAAAAACCUGCACAUUCACCCCUUGAACCUAAAAUAAAAAAUGAAGCAAAACAAAACAAUGGGCAAAGGACUUGAAUAGACAUUUCUCUAAAGUAGAUCUAUAAAUGGCCAAUGAGCACAUGACAAGAUGCUCAAUACCAUUAGUCAUUAGGGGAAAUUAAAUUCACAAUGACAUACCACUUCACACCCACGAGGCUGGUUAUUGUUUAAAAACUGGAAAAUAACAAGUGUUGGUGAGGAGGCAGAGAAAUGGGAACCCUCGUGCUCUGCUGGUGGGAAUGAGAAAUGAUGCAGAUGCUGUGGAAAACAGAUGCUUUUGUGGUUCGUGAACCUGAUGAUUGGGUGUUCAUGUAUGUGUGUGAGAUGUACCACCCUCGAACCUUGUUAUGACGUCAGCACAUUACCCAUCUGACCUGGAAAAAAAAAAGAGAGAAGAAAGCAGUUUUGUGGUGCCAAUUUCAUCCUAGGUAUAAACCCAAAGAACUGAAGGCAGGGAUUCAAACAGCUACUUGUAUACUAGUGUUCAUACCAGGAUUAUAUUUACAAAAGCCAGAAGGUGAAAACACAUCAAAUGUCCAUCACCAGAUGAAUGGAUAAACAAUGUGUUAAAUACAUACAACGGAAAUACCAUCCAGCCUAAAGAGGAAUGCAGUUCUGAUACAUGCUACAACAUAGAUGAAUCUUGACAACAUUAUCUCAAUGCAAGAAAACUGACACAGGAGGACAAGUAUUAUAUGAUUCCACUUAUAUGAGAUACCUAGACCAGGCAAAUUCACAGAGACAAAGGAGAAGAGAGAAUACCAGGGGUUUAGGAGAAGGGGAGAAUGGGGAGUUACAGCUUAAUUGGUACAGAGUUUCUGUUUGGGAUGCUGAAAAAGUUCCGGAAGGUGUGGAGCAAUGGAAACACCCGUACACUCAUGGUGGGAAUGUAAAUUGAUACUACUCUCUGGAAAAUAAUUGGCAUUAUCUAGUACAGCUGGAGACACAUAUGCACUCUCUGAUGUAGCAAUUCCACUCCUACGUAUUUAUUCUAGAGCAGUGGGUUUCAAAGUGAGACCCACAGAUGCUUGGAGGUCCCAAGUCCCUUUCAAGGGGCCUGGAGGGUCAAAACAAUUUUCUUUUUUUUCUUUUACUUUUUUUUUUGAGAUGGAGUCUCGCUCUUGUUGCCCAGGCUGGAGGCAAUGGUGCGAUCUCGGCUCACUGCAACCUCCACCUCCCGGGUUCAAGCAAUUCUCUUUCCUCAGCCUCCCGAGUAGCUGGGAUUACAGGUGCCCGCCACAAUGCCUGGCUAAUUUUUUGUAUUUUUAGUAGAGAUGGGCUUUCACUAUGUUGGCCAGGCUGGUCUUGAACUCCUGACCUCGUGAUCCGCUCGCCUCGGCCUCCCAAAGUGUUGGGAUUACAGGUGUGAGCCACCGUGCCCAGCCGACAAUUUUCAUAAUAAUACUAACUUGUUAUUUGCCCUUUUCUACAGUGCUUUUUUUUUUUUUUUUUUUUUUUGAGACAGAAUUUCGCUCUUGUCACCCAGGCUGGAGUACAAUGGCACGAUCUUGGCUCACUGCAACCUUUACCUCCUGGUUCAAGUGAUUCUCCUGCCUCAGCCUCCCAAGUAGCUGAGGAGGCGUGCACCACCACCCUCUGGCUAAUUUUUGUAUUAUGAGUAGAUACAGGGUUUCACCAUGUUGGCCAGGCUGUUCUCGAACUCCUGACCUCAGGUGAUCCACCUGCCUCGGCCUCCCAAAGUGCUGGAAUUACAGGUGCGAGCCACUGCGCCUGGUCCACAGUGCUUACUUUGAUGGUGCAAAAGCAUUUGUGGGUAAAAUUGCUGGCACCUGUGAACGAAUCAAGGCCGUGCCAUUAAUUAUAUUAGUAUCCUUUAUUCUUCACUGCCACACACUCACAGUUUAAACAAAAAAAUUAAGUUCACUUAAGAAUGUCCUUUGAUGAAGAAGUAACAGUUAUUUGAUCAAAUCUUGACCCUGAGCAAAUGCCUUUUUAGCACUCUGUGUGAUGAAAUGGGAAAGAGAUACAAAUAAGGCACUGACGUUGCACAUCCAAGGGUGAGGGCUGUCUUGAGAAAGAGCAUUUGUGUGGAUUAUUGAGUUGUGACCUGAAUUAAUUAGCCAGGCUUUUUUUUUUUUUAAAUGAAACACCAUUUUUACUUGACAGACCAUGAUUAUUCACAGACAAACCAUGAUUAUUUAAAUUUGAAUUUUUUUUUUUUUUUUUUUUUUUUUUGAGACGGAGUCUCACUCUGUUGCCUAGGCUGGAGCUGUGGUGCGAUCUCGGCUCACAGCAAACUUCGCCUCCCAGGUUUGAGCAAUUCUCCUGUCUCAGCCUCCCGAUGAAAUGUUCUCUUGAUGUUUCCUUGAAAAUGAAUGAGGUAAGUCUGUCGCUUCAAGGAAAACAACUGAGAUUAAUUGUUGCCAAUAACAAAAUUUUGAGCUUUCAAACUAGAACUAGAAUUUUGGAAAGCUUGCGUCCACCGCUGUGAGCUUAACAACUUCCUAAUAGUUCAAUGCUUUUCUGACCAUAUCAGUAAUGAUGUUAGCAAAUGUGAUUUUUUCUUUUUUGAGACAGGGUCUCACUUUGUUGCCCAGGCUAGAGUGCAGUGGUGCAAUCGCUGCUUACUGUAGCCUUGACCUCCUGGGCUCAGGCCAUCCUCCUACCUCACUCUCCCAGUAGCUGGGACUACAACUGUGCAUCACCACGCCUGGCUAAUUUUUGUAUUUGUUUGUAAAGAUGGAGUUUUGUCAUGUUGCCCAGGCUGAUCUUGAACUCCUGGGCUCAAGUGAUCUGCUCGCCUCAGCCUCCCAAAGUGCUGGUAUUACAAGGUGUGAGCCACUGUAACCAGCAGCAAGUGUGCUUUUUAAAAAUAUUGUAUAGUUUGGAAGAGCUACACAGCUUAGUAAAGCAAUAUUUUCCAGAUGACCACCAAAAUCACCAAUGGGCAAAAAAUUUAUUCAAAUUUUUUGUUUUGGAAAAUGGAUUUAAUCUUUAUUAAAAAAUUAAUUAUGUUAACAUGAAAUGAGUUUUUUUUUGUUAUUUGGAAAUUAAUAAAUAUAUUUUAAAUU